GACGAACGCUGGCGGCGUGCUUAACACAUGCAAGUCGAACGGAAAGGCCCUGCUUGCAGGGUACUCGAGUGGCGAACGGGUGAGUAACACGUGGGUGAUCUGCCCUGCACUUCGGGAUAAGCCUGGGAAACUGGGUCUAAUACCGGAUAGGAGCCAUUUUUAGUGUGAUGGUUGGAAAGUUUUUUCGGUGUAGGAUGAGCUCGCGGCCUAUCAGCUUGUUGGUGGGGUAAUGGCCUACCAAGGCGGCGACGGGUAGCCGGCCUGAGAGGGUGGACGGCCACAUUGCGACUGAGAUACGGCCCAGACUCCUACGGGAGGCAGCAGUGGGGAAUAUUGCACAAUGGGCGCAAGCCUGAUGCAGCGACGCCGCGUGGGGGAUGACGGCCUUCGGGUUGUAAACUCCUUUCGCUAGGGACGAAGCUUUUUGUGACGGUACCUAGAUAAGAAGCACCGGCUAACUACGUG
Molecule: ribosomal RNA, 465 nt
Filed under: uncultured bacterium
Lineage: Bacteria
Description: partial 16S ribosomal RNA
Rfam family: Bacterial small subunit ribosomal RNA
Source: RNAcentral